UUCCCCUAGCUGUGAAUCUUAUUGCCACCAGAUGUUAUGGAAGCUGAAAGUUUAGCCAGAUUCAAAGAGCAUUGGACAAAUUCUUGGAGGAAAGUAGCAUCAGUAGUUAUUGAGCAUGGGAGUUAGGGAUGCAGCCUUUGAAUCAAAACUUCUUAGACUUUAAAUGC
Molecule: long non-coding RNA, 167 nt
Organism: Gavialis gangeticus (Gharial)
Lineage: Eukaryota; Metazoa; Chordata; Crocodylia; Gavialidae
Exons: 3
Source: RefSeq, a predicted model, not a curated record